GCCGUUAUGGUGAAAUUGGUAGAC
RNAcentral lists this transfer RNA (24 nucleotides) under Anemopaegma chrysanthum. Its description in RNAcentral is "partial tRNA-Leu". Lineage: Eukaryota; Viridiplantae; Streptophyta; Magnoliopsida; Lamiales; Bignoniaceae. RNAcentral also lists the same sequence under 1 other name. The record is from RNAcentral.